Molecule: long non-coding RNA, 414 nt
Organism: Pongo pygmaeus (Bornean orangutan)
Lineage: Eukaryota; Metazoa; Chordata; Mammalia; Primates; Hominidae
Exons: 3
Source: RefSeq, a predicted model, not a curated record
CUGCUCGGUGUGGUCAGGCCGUGAGUGGUUGGUUCCAACAGGCGGGGGCCUAUGUUGGCGCCGCAGGGGGUGCCAGUCAACCCAUAUUCCAUCGCCUCCUCCUAUCUGCCCGCAGCAGCCUUCUUGUUUAUUAGGCAUCGCCCCAGCAAUCAACUCAUCUGAUCUUCACAGCAGCCCUGCAAGGAGCAGCAUUGUGGAAGGAACUAGGGAUGUUAAAAUGAGGAAGAUCCAGCCCCUCACCCUCAGAGACCCCACAGCCUCGCACAGAUGGAAGUUGACAGUGGAGCCACUGCCCCUCCAGACACACUGGGAGGUUCUGGCCUGUGGAGGAGCUCAUCGAGGUUUGAGUGAGGGAGCCGACAAAGAAGUGAAUGCAGGAACCAUCACUGGCAACGGGAGCAAGGGCCCUCCAUG